This is a non-coding RNA of Hydra vulgaris (swiftwater hydra), 347 nucleotides long. NCBI's taxonomy places the organism in Eukaryota, Metazoa, Cnidaria, Hydrozoa, Anthoathecata, Hydridae. The record is from RefSeq and is a predicted model, not a curated record.
AUUGAUUCGCCAAGAGGAUUUAUAUAGAAAAUCAUCUUUUCCUUUGGUUUGAUUAUCUGGAACACAAUAGAAUACAAAAAAGUUUUUGAAUAAAAAUUUACAAAAAAAGAAAUACAUCAAAAUCUGGCUUACUGUUAGCGUCCAAUGGAAGUUUGCAACAAUACAGCACAUAACCAAUAAAGUUGUAGCAAUCCCAUCAAUAAUAGCUGCUGCGCCACCUUUAUCUGCAGGUGGUAAACAAAGGAUUUGUAGGUUUAAUAAUUAAGUAUGAAGCUAAAAUUUCAUUUAGCUAUUUUAAUUACUACUUUUUUUUAUUUUUAUACAUUUUUUUAAAGAAAUUUUAGUAU